GAGCGGUAACGCGGGAGCAAUCCUGGCGACGUAGCGGCGAACGGGUGAGUAAUGCUUCGGAAUCUGCCCAGUAGUGGGGAAUAACCAACCGAAAGGUUGGCUAAUGCCGCAUACGACCUACGGGUGAAAGCAGGGGAUCGUAAGACCUUGCGCUAUUGGAUGAGCCGAAGUCGGAUUAGCUAGUUGGUAGGGUAACGGCCUACCAAGGCGACAAUCCGUAGCUGGUCUGAGAGGACGACCAGCCACACUGGGACUGAGACACGGCCCAGACUCCUACGGGAGGCAGCAGUGGGGAAUAUUGGACAAUGGGGGCAACCCUGAUCCAGCGACGCCGCGUGUGUGAAGAAGGCCUGCGGGUUGUAAAGCACUUUUAGUGGGGAUGAAAAGCUCAGGGCUAAUACCUCUGGGUCUUGACCUAACCCACAGAAAAAGCACCGGCUAACUCUGUG
This 449-nucleotide ribosomal RNA is filed under the name uncultured bacterium. RNAcentral's name for it is "bacterial SSU rRNA". It matches the Rfam family "Bacterial small subunit ribosomal RNA", at positions 64 to 507 of the family's 1533-position model. The record is from RNAcentral.